AGUCACUGACAUUAGAUACCCGGGUAGUCCAGGGUGUAAACGCUGCAGACUUGGUGUUGGAGGCCCGUUUGGGGGCAUUCAGUGCCGGAGAGAAGUUGUUAAGUCUGCUACGUUGGGAGUACGUCCGCAAGGAUAGAAACUUAAAGGAAUUGGCGGGGGAGCACCGCAACGGGAGGAGCGUGCGGUUUAAUUGGAUUCAACACCGUAAACUCACCAGGGAAGACUGUUACAUGAAGGCCGAGACGAAGACUCUGCUAGAUUUUCAG
This 266-nucleotide ribosomal RNA is filed under the name uncultured archaeon. RNAcentral describes it as "partial 16S ribosomal RNA". It matches the Rfam family "Archaeal small subunit ribosomal RNA", at positions 719 to 982 of the family's 1478-position model. The record is from RNAcentral.